AUUCCAGCUCCAAUGGCGUAUAUUAAAGUUGUUGCAGUUAAAAAGCUCGUAGUUGGAUUUCUGGCAGGAGCGACCGGUCGGCCCAUUGUGGUGUGUACUAGUGUUGCAUCUGGCCAUAUUUGUGGAGAGCGUGUGUGGCAUUAAUUUGUCGUGCUCGGGACCCGCAUCGUUUACUGUGAGAAAAUUAGAGUGUUCAAAGCAGGCUUAUGCCUUGGAUAUGUUAGCAUGGAAUAAUAAGAUAAGACUUUGGCGGUCUAUUUUGUCGGUUUGCACGCCAUUGUAAUGAUUGAUAGGGACAGUUGGGGGUAUUCAUAUUUAAUUGCCAGAGGUGAAAUUCUUGGAUUUAUGAAAGAUGAACUACUGCGAAAGCAUUUACCAAGGAUGUUUUCAUUG
RNAcentral lists this ribosomal RNA (393 nucleotides) under Stramenopiles sp. MAST-2D. RNAcentral's name for it is "partial small subunit ribosomal RNA". It matches the Rfam family "Eukaryotic small subunit ribosomal RNA", at positions 582 to 975 of the family's 1831-position model. The record is from RNAcentral.